UUGCGCAAGUCGUAGUUCAUCGGGCAAUGUUCGCAAUCCUCUGCCGGAUUCGCGGGUUUAUUCUUUUCCCCACUUCGAGGCCCGGACAUCUGGUCCACCCGGCGCGCCCAACCAGGCGCUCCGGCGCCGCGCGAUCUUACCGGGUCGCGCGGCAUCCGGGCAUGCGCCGCCGACCGGGCAGCGCGGGAAGGCGGCGAGACUCUCGCCGACGACGGACGGAGCGAAAACGGGAGGACAGGCGCUGGCCUGUCCU
RNAcentral lists this small RNA (253 nucleotides) under Azotobacter vinelandii. RNAcentral describes it as "Pseudomonas sRNA P24". Lineage: Bacteria; Pseudomonadati; Pseudomonadota; Gammaproteobacteria; Pseudomonadales; Pseudomonadaceae. The record is from RNAcentral.